GAUGAACGCUAGCGGCAGGCCUAAUACAUGCAAGUCGAACGGCCCCGACACUUCGGUGUCGGGGUAGUGGCGCACGGGUGCGUAACGCGUACACAACAUACCCUUUACAGGGGGAUAGCGGCGGGAAACUGCCAGUAAUACCCCAUGUCCUUGCGAGGUGGCAUCAUUUUGCAAAGAAAGUUCAAGCGGUAAAGGAUUGGUGUGCGUCCGAUUAGCUAGUUGGCGGGGUAACGGCCCACCAAGGCGACGAUCGGUAGGGGGUGUGAGAGCAUGGCCCCCCACACGGGUACUGAGACACGGACCCGACUCCUACGGGAGGCAGCAGUGGGGAAUUUUGGACAAUGGGCGCAAGCCUGAUCCAGCCAUGCCGCGUGCGGGACGAAGGGCCUUCGGUUGGUAAACCGACUUUCAGCCGGAAAGGAAAUCGCCGUUUUUAACUACAGACGGUGGAUGACGGUACCGGAAGAAGAAGCACCGGCUAACUACGUGCCAGCAGCCGCGGUAAAG
This 507-nucleotide ribosomal RNA is filed under the name uncultured bacterium. RNAcentral describes it as "bacterial SSU rRNA". It matches the Rfam family "Bacterial small subunit ribosomal RNA", at positions 28 to 525 of the family's 1533-position model. The record is from RNAcentral.